CCGCCCCCGGCCGCCCGCCCCCGCCCUGCCGCGCCGCUGCCAGGCAACCGGCAGGCCCCGCCCCCGCACCGCCCUUCCCAUUGGUAGGUUCCGGAGAUGGAGGAGGAGGCGGGGCCCGCGGGCCGGCUGAGGGCAGCAAUUGGCCGGUAGCGCUGUCGAUCGCGGGGGAGGAGGCGGAGGCGCGGCGCGGGCCUCGGCCCUGGGAACAGCCUGGGGGCCGGGCGACAGCCGGGCUGGGGGCGGGGCGGCGUGGGCCGGUGGCGCUGGAGGCGGAGAGCGGAAGGUGGGCGAGAGCGCGUGGGGGCGGCUCUUCGCUGAGUCGCGAGUCGGGGCGGCCCCUGGGCGCCGCUCCCUGCUAGUGGCGGGGGGCGCGGGCUCGCGCAGGGCGGGGGAGAGUCCCUGGGCAGCCGGCCGCGCGGGCGGAGUGAGUGAUGGGGAGAGGCCGGCACGCAGCCGCACGGUCCGGCCCGGACCCGGAGUUUUGGGAGCCCAGGUGCCCAGGGAGACAUAGCCCCACAAGACAUCAGUCGGACAGACCGGGACUGAGGCAAGUCCCGAAGUCACAGCCAGUCUACCAGGACCCAGGUGGACCGCAUUCUGCUUCGUACGAUCAUCCCGAAGAAAGGACAGCAACGUGCAGGACGAGGUUGCCUGCCCUCCUGUCUGCAAGCCUUCCGUCACAGGCAGAUCCUUUUUGGUUGAAUUUCCUUCCUGAAACCAGCUGUGGCUUCCUCUUCUUUAUUUGUUGUUUGCAGAGUUUUAAAGUAGAUUUCUGCGUUUAUUGGUUUUGGGAUUCUUUUGGUUGUAAGCGACAGAAAGCAAUUCAAACCGGCUCUGACAACUGGGAUAUUUAUCUGCUUGUGCGGCUGUGAAGUUAGGGCUGUCUCCUUCCCCUUCUUUCUCUUUCUUUCCCGGCCACCAUGGUGUGGUGCACGCUUGCAUCCCGCCGGCCCUAGGACCAGCGUCUGUUGAACUGACCGGGGUCAGGGGCUGAGGUGGAGCUGGGUGGGGGCGGGGUAGAGCUGGCUGCUGCUUGCCCAAAGGGAAGUGACGUGGUUGGGGUCAGAAGAAUGACAGGUGGAAGCCGGCAGGAAAACCGGGGAGAGGGUGGGGAGGGGUAUAGUCUGGAGAGUCCUGGGCUGGCCGCUCCCCUCGGUCUCAAGACAGCGGAGGGAGGAGAGAGUCCUCUCCUGAGAAGCAUCUGUAGUCCUAAGCACCGCUCCACUCUCUGGAAGGUUCUGCCCUUGACUACCGUUCUCCUGCCCAAGGGCAUGCUCCCCUUUGGUAGCAGCUGAGGUAGGGGAGCCACUCCGAGCCUGGCCUGCCUUCCAGCAGCCAUCCCGGGCCUCUCCCUCUCCCUGGCAGCUGGGCAGGAGGUGAGCGGUGGGGGAGGGGUGCCAUCGGCACCCUGCCACAAGUGGAACUGAGCGAGCCUCUCGUGGAGUGUCACCCAGAAAGCGAGUGGGGCUGAUGGCAGGCACAGGGUGAGACGCGGGUGAGGCUGUCCUAUCAAGACCUGGAGACCUGGACCCGGCCUGGCGGCCUCUCCGAGCCACCAGACUCCAGAAGGGUCUCCAGCGUAGGCGUGCUCAGUCCUUCAGCUGUGAGGAGGGGUCUUAGCCCCCCACCCCCACCCCACCAGGAGACCACCAGUGUUCUCUGGGGGUUUUCUUACUUGUGUGGAAGCUCUUUCACGUGGUGAUGGUGUCUGGGGCCGGGGCUGAGGACCAAGGGUAAGGUCCUAGGGCCUGAGUGGUGGACGAGACGAGAUGGUGGGCGGGGUACUGACAGGUCAGCAGCAGCACCAGCUCCCAGGACUUAGGGGGCCACCCUUGUCUUGGCACCUCUUUCUUUUGGAAGCGUUCAGGGCCCUUUAUAAACCCCACCUUGUUCCUUCUCCUUAACUCAGAGUGUGUUGGGGGCUGUGGGAUCCAGCCCCUGGCCCGGGGGUUGGCACUCGGGGCAGCUGGGAAAUCAUCACCCCGACUUGGGGUCUGGCCCACCCCCUCCAACACCGGCCAGAGCAAGGCAUUGUCACGAUGGAGAAGUCCGAGAGGACCAGCGCCAGCCAAGAUGGGCGGUCCCAGCACCCCCGGAACAGGGUGGUGGUCUUCCUGCACUUGGGGCAGGGCUGAGGGGCAGCUGGUGUCCCCGAGGAGGCAGGUGCACUGGCACUCUGUUUCCCUGUCACUUCUGAUCGUUGGUCCUCACCUCUGCGGUCUGCGCCACCAGGGAGGCGUGUAGCCAUGGGGAUCUUCAGCACGUAGCUCUGAACCAGAGGGCCCUCCCCCCGCCCCAGCCCCGCACACCGGCACCGGGCCCUCGUGCAUGCCGGGUGCCGGGCUGCAGUCAGAGGCGAGAACCUGACCGUGUGGUGCUGUGGACGCCGACUCCGGCUCAGCAGACCCCAGCCUGGGCGGCCCAGGAGACAAGGCUGCAGGCAGGGAGAAUAAAAGUGCGUCUCUUCAUCAGCUUA
Neofelis nebulosa (Clouded leopard) is the source of this 2476-nucleotide long non-coding RNA. RefSeq lists it as uncharacterized. The transcript has 2 exons. Lineage: Eukaryota; Metazoa; Chordata; Mammalia; Carnivora; Felidae. The record is from RefSeq and is a predicted model, not a curated record.